This 47-nucleotide transfer RNA is filed under the name Agama boueti (Mali agama). RNAcentral's name for it is "partial tRNA-Leu". Lineage: Eukaryota; Metazoa; Chordata; Lepidosauria; Squamata; Agamidae. The record is from RNAcentral.
ACUUUUAAUGGACAUUAGCAGUCCAAUGGUCUUAGGAGCACAGUCUG